Long non-coding RNA from Uranotaenia lowii, 794 nucleotides. RefSeq lists it as uncharacterized. The transcript is spliced from 3 exons. NCBI's taxonomy places the organism in Eukaryota, Metazoa, Arthropoda, Insecta, Diptera, Culicidae. The record is from RefSeq and is a predicted model, not a curated record.
UCAAUUAAAGGUAAGCUUUAAUGAUUUGUGAGCUAACGAACUCUAAAUAUUGGAAGUUUUCCCAGGCACAAAAGGAUUCAGGUUCUAAUGCUCCUAAAAGUCUUCGGGAAGCACAGAGCGAAGAAGGUUUUCUGAGGUUGCCCUUACAACAAAACGGACUAGAGACUAAGGCAUGAAGGCAACAAUAAAUUCCAAUAAGAAUUUGGAACAAGAAAUCCAGUAGGAGAAAGGAAACAGCCAAGCCCUCAUCAGAGGUAAACACUUUAAUCUUCUACUCUAUACCUCACACUAAUUUUGUUGCCUUCAGGGCUUUUGGUGUAGGUUGGAAAAGUCAUCAGGUGCAAGAUAUUGGAGCGCCACAACUCAACCAUUCUCCGCAUCCAAGCUGGUACAUUCAUCUGUGAAUUGAAGAAGUGUGUGUCCAAUAAUCUACCCGGAGCGCUACUUUACCCUACUUUACAAGUGAAUUUACGUUUCCGCAUCAUUUCUGACAAAAAUAUGGAAAAGACUAUAGCAUCUUUGCAGUUGCAAAGAAAUUUACAUGAAAAUACGAGCAAAACACGCAGAAACUCAAUGGGAAUGCAUGUUCUAAAGGACAUUUACAUGAAACUGCAUGUGCUCCAAGCUGUCAACACACUUGUUGUUUUGCUCCAAUUCCCGUAGGAAUUUAAUUCCGUUUGCUGCUCGCAGAAUAUUCUAGCAAGAAACCAUAAGAGCCAAAAGCAGCGGCAAAUGCAGCUAAGGUCUUAGUAAGGAGUAAUUUAUUCUAUUCUACAGUCUGCAGUCCGAUUCCC